Molecule: ribosomal RNA, 301 nt
Filed under: uncultured bacterium
Lineage: Bacteria
Description: partial 16S ribosomal RNA
Rfam family: Bacterial small subunit ribosomal RNA
Source: RNAcentral
CAGCCGCCACGGUAAUACGUAGGUGGCAAGCGUUGUCCGGAAUUAUUGGGCGUAAAGGGCUCGCAGGCGGUUUCUUAAGUCUGAUGUGAAAGCCCCCGGCUCGACCGGGGAGGGUCAUUGGAAACUGGGAAACUUGAGUGCAGAAGAGGAGAGUGGAAUUCCACGUGUAGCGGUGAAAUGCGUAGAGAUGUGGAGGAACACCAGUGGCGAAGGCGACUCUCUGGUCUGUAACUGACGCUGAGGAGCGAAAGCGUGGGGAGCGAACAGGAUUAGAUACCCCAGUAGUCCCUGUCUCUUAUAC